RNAcentral lists this small RNA (124 nucleotides) under Marmota monax (woodchuck). Lineage: Eukaryota; Metazoa; Chordata; Mammalia; Rodentia; Sciuridae. The record is from RNAcentral.
GCUGGGAGUGGUGGCGCACGCCUGUAAUCCCAGCAGUUUGGGAGGCCGAGACAGGAGGAUCAAGAGUUCAAAGCCAACCUCAGCAAAAGCAAUCCCCUAAGCAACUCAGUGAGACCUGCCUCUA